This 486-nucleotide ribosomal RNA is filed under the name Pseudomonas sp. CL4.31. RNAcentral describes it as "bacterial SSU rRNA". It matches the Rfam family "Bacterial small subunit ribosomal RNA", at positions 17 to 497 of the family's 1533-position model. Lineage: Bacteria; Pseudomonadati; Pseudomonadota; Gammaproteobacteria; Pseudomonadales; Pseudomonadaceae. The record is from RNAcentral.
CCCAGGCUCAGAUUGAACGCUGGCGGCAGGCCUAACACAUGCAAGUCGAGCGGAUGACAGGAGCUUGCUCCUGAAUUCAGCGGCGGACGGGUGAGUAAUGCCUAGGAAUCUGCCUGGUAGUGGGGGACAACGUUUCGAAAGGAACGCUAAUACCGCAUACGUCCUACGGGAGAAAGCAGGGGACCUUCGGGCCUUGCGCUAUCAGAUGAGCCUAGGUCGGAUUAGCUAGUUGGUGAGGUAAUGGCUCACCAAGGCGACGAUCCGUAACUGGUCUGAGAGGAUGAUCAGUCACACUGGAACUGAGACACGGUCCAGACUCCUACGGGAGGCAGCAGUGGGGAAUAUUGGACAAUGGGCGAAAGCCUGAUCCAGCCAUGCCGCGUGUGUGAAGAAGGUCUUCGGAUUGUAAAGCACUUUAAGUUGGGAGGAAGGGCAGUAACAUUAAUACUUUGCUGUUUUGACGUUACCGACAGAAUAAGCACCGGC